Molecule: transfer RNA, 68 nt
Filed under: Marmota monax (woodchuck)
Lineage: Eukaryota; Metazoa; Chordata; Mammalia; Rodentia; Sciuridae
Description: tRNA.Ala
Source: RNAcentral
GGGAUAUGGCUUAGUGCUAGAGUGCUUGCCUAGCAUGCAUGAGGCCCUGGAUUCAAUCCCAGUGCUCG